This 252-nucleotide ribosomal RNA is filed under the name uncultured bacterium. RNAcentral's name for it is "partial 16S ribosomal RNA". It matches the Rfam family "Bacterial small subunit ribosomal RNA", at positions 524 to 776 of the family's 1533-position model. The record is from RNAcentral.
UACAUAGGUCCCGAGCGUUGUCCGGAUUUAUUGGGCGUAAAGCGAGCGCAGGUGGUUUAUUAAGUCUGGUGUAAAAGGCAGUGGCUCAACCAUUGUAUGCAUUGGAAACUGGUAGACUUGAGUGCAGGAGAGGAGAGUGGAAUUCCAUGUGUAGCGGUGAAAUGCGUAGAUAUAUGGAGGAACACCGGUGGCGAAAGCGGCUCUCUGGCCUGUAACUGACGCUGAGGUUCGAAAGUGUGGGUAGCAAACAGG